UUUAUAAUGCCCACGAUCUGUUGAAUUUUAGGAUUUUUACCCUUUCCUAAACAAUUAUUGUGGGCAUUGACAA
Molecule: non-coding RNA, 73 nt
Filed under: unclassified sequences
Description: potC RNA
Rfam family: potC RNA
Source: RNAcentral